RNAcentral lists this ribosomal RNA (253 nucleotides) under uncultured bacterium. RNAcentral's name for it is "partial 16S ribosomal RNA". It matches the Rfam family "Bacterial small subunit ribosomal RNA", at positions 524 to 776 of the family's 1533-position model. The record is from RNAcentral.
UACGUAGGUGACCAGCGUUGUCCGGAUUUACUGGGCGUAAAGAGCGCGCAGGCGGUCGUUCAAGUCGAACGUGAAAUCCCCGGGCUCAACCCGGGAACUGCGUCCGAUACUGGAAGGCUUGAAUCCGGGAGAGGGAUGCGGAAUUCCAGGUGUAGCGGUGAAAUGCGUAGAUAUCUGGAGGAACACCGGUGGCGAAGGCGGCAUCCUGGACCGGCAUUGACGCUGAGGCGCGAAAGCCAGGGGAGCAAACGGG